AACCAUCUAAAAACCUCCCCUAGAAAUUUACUAAAAAUCACAUAAAAAAUAGGUAAGAAAUACCUUAGAUAAAAAAAUCCUUACAUUUUCUCCAAAUUAAGAUGUGGAGCCUUCAAUUCUAACCUAUUUGAGUGUUCUCAGCCCAUCAAUUCUAUCUCAAAACCCUUCAUUUGAAAAUCUCUAAUUUUUAGCCCUAAUUUUUCAAAACUAGGAAUUUCUCAGUUUUACUAUAAUUCAAC
RNAcentral lists this long non-coding RNA (239 nucleotides) under Ananas comosus (pineapple). Its description in RNAcentral is "long non-coding RNA (ACOM_LNC002348)". The record is from RNAcentral. Lineage: Eukaryota; Viridiplantae; Streptophyta; Magnoliopsida; Poales; Bromeliaceae.